UACGGAGGAUGCAAGCGUUAUCCGGGAUUAUUGGGCGUAAAGCGUCCGCAGGUGGCACUUCAAGUCUGUCGUCAAAGACCGGGGCUUAACCCUGGAAAGGCGAUGGAAACUGAAAGGCUAGAGAGAGGUAGGGGUAGAGGGAAUUCCCAGUGUAGCGGUGAAAUGCGUAGAGAUUGGGAAGAACAUCGGUGGCGAAAGCGCUCUACUGGACCUCAUCUGACACUCAGGGACGAAAGCUAGGGGAGCGAAUGGG
Molecule: ribosomal RNA, 253 nt
Filed under: uncultured bacterium
Lineage: Bacteria
Description: partial 16S ribosomal RNA
Rfam family: Bacterial small subunit ribosomal RNA
Source: RNAcentral